Molecule: ribosomal RNA, 255 nt
Filed under: uncultured bacterium
Lineage: Bacteria
Description: partial 16S ribosomal RNA
Rfam family: Bacterial small subunit ribosomal RNA
Source: RNAcentral
UACGUAGGGGGGCGAGCGUUGUCCGGAUUUAUUGGGCGUAAAGAGCGUGUAGGCGGCCAGGUAGGUCUGCUGUGAAAACUCGAGGCUCAACCUCGAGACGUCGGUUGAAACCGUAUGGCUAGAGUCCGGAAGAGGAGAGUGGAAUUCCCGGUGUAGCGGUGAAAUGCGUAGAGAUCGGGAGGAACACCAGUGGCGAAGGGCGGGUCUCUGGACAGUUCCUGACGCUGAGGCACGAAGGUCAGGGGAGCAAACGGG